Molecule: ribosomal RNA, 250 nt
Filed under: uncultured bacterium
Lineage: Bacteria
Description: partial 16S ribosomal RNA
Rfam family: Bacterial small subunit ribosomal RNA
Source: RNAcentral
UACGUAGGGGGCAAGCGUUGUCCGGAUUCAUUGGGCGUAAAGAGCUCGUAGGCGGUUCAGUAAGUCAGGUGUGAAAGCUCCGAGCUCAACUCGGAGACGCCAUCUGAUACUGCUGUGACUAGAAUCCAGUAGGGGAGUGUGGAACUCCUGGUGUAGCGGUGAAAUGCGCAGAUAUCAGGAAGAACACCAGCGGCGAAGGCGGCACUCUGGGCUGGUAUUGACGCUGAGGAGCGAAAGUGUGGGUAGCAAA